UAUAUCAACAAACUGAUUAUUAUUAUUAAUUAAUUAAUUAAUUCCGAUCUUCAUAUUCCAAAUGUCUUCAAUAACGCAAGUAGCAAUCCCAAAUGUUGUCCUGCAAUCAUCCUUCAGCAUGCUGGUCAUAGGCUUUGGAACUGCUGCCUUCGAAACUGAUGACGGUGACGUCCAUAAAUUGGCAUUAAUGGAGGCCAUCAAGCUCGGUUACAGGCAAUUCGACACUGCUUCUAUAUAUGGCUCCGAACAGGCUCUGGGAGAAGCCAUUGCUGAAGCCCUUAAACUUGGUCUCAUAAACUCCAGGGAUGAACUUUUCAUCACUUCCAAGUUAUGGUUAUCUGAUAACCAUCCCGAUCUUGUUAUUCCUGCUCUAUGCAAAUCACUUCAGUAAGACCUACUUAAUUAGUUUAAUUAAGUUCAAUAAUACGAAUGAAUAACUUAUGGACUUGUGGUAAUUCAUAUGCAAGAAUCUUGGAUUAGAAUACUUAGAUCUCUACUUGAUUCUGCUUUCCCUCACUCCAUUUCAGCCAUUCUAGUCUCGUUCUUCUCUUGCUCACCCUCACCGCGCGCUACCCGUCACUGGUGGUUGUCAAUUCUGUGAGGAGAAUAUAUAUUUGCUUUGCAGGGUUGGGUUUGUUAUUCUCUAUAUCUUAAUAAGUGAAUGCUUUUUUUGAUUGUCUAUAUCUUAACAAGAACAUUCAUUAGGACUUCCAUCUCUACUGUCAGAUCCUAGUGCUAAGACACCAGAGGAGGCAUUGGUAUACAUAUUUGGUGAAGCUAGAAGAACCACACCAUCAAUUCUCUAUUUACCACAAUUUGAUGUUUGGUGGGAAACUGCUCAUAAACAACUCAGAGUUGUCCUCCAGACUUUGCUAGACAAAUUGCCAUCUAACAUGCCUAUCCUUCUACUGGAAACAUCCUCAGUUUUGCUAGCUGAAGUUGAAGAUGCACCACAUCCACUUUUCCCUCAUUGUUCAAUGUAUCGUUGAUCUAAUUCACAACAAAACACUUAUUUUUUAUAUGGAAUGUUGAUAGAGUUUAAGUGCUAUAAGUAUUUUUUUUUCUUUUCUCAUUUUAUUUG
Molecule: non-coding RNA, 1081 nt
Organism: Arachis ipaensis
Lineage: Eukaryota; Viridiplantae; Streptophyta; Magnoliopsida; Fabales; Fabaceae
Source: RefSeq, a predicted model, not a curated record